UACGAAGGGGGCGAGCGUUGUUCGGAAUUACUGGGCGUAAAGGGUGCGCAGGCGGUCGGGUGUGUCAGAUGUGAAAUCCCGAGGCUCAACCUCGGAACUGCGUCUGAAACUACUCGACUAGAGUACUGGAGAGGGUAACGGAAUUCACGGUGUAGCAGUGAAAUGCGUAGAUAUCGUGAGGAACACCAGAGGCGAAGGCGGUUACCUGGACAGUUACUGACGCUCAGGCACGAAAGCAUGGGGAGCAAAAGGG
This 253-nucleotide ribosomal RNA is filed under the name uncultured bacterium. RNAcentral describes it as "partial 16S ribosomal RNA". It matches the Rfam family "Bacterial small subunit ribosomal RNA", at positions 524 to 776 of the family's 1533-position model. The record is from RNAcentral.